This 74-nucleotide transfer RNA is filed under the name Gasterosteus aculeatus (three-spined stickleback). It matches the Rfam family "tRNA". From Rfam's summary of the family: Transfer RNA (tRNA) molecules are approximately 80 nucleotides in length. Their secondary structure includes four short double-helical elements and three loops (D, anti-codon, and T loops). The record is from Rfam by way of RNAcentral. Lineage: Eukaryota; Metazoa; Chordata; Actinopteri; Perciformes; Gasterosteidae.
GUUUCUGUGGUGCAAUUGCUCAGCGCGUUCGGCUGUUAACCGAAAGGUUGGUGGUUCAAGCCCACCCAGGGACG